UAUACAACUUCUGCAAGGUGCUAACCCAAACCGUCACAAGCUUUUAUUAUCAAUUUCAUGCCAAAGGCAACAGAACAGAUCUUCCAGUUGCAGAUAUUCCCUCUCCAAAGAUGAAGAAGGCCUCUUUUGACGAUCAGCGCCGCACCCAACUCUUUCUCAAAGAUCAAAUACCAACAUGGUUUGCUAUAACAGGUUAUGUCACCAUUGCUGCGAUAUCUACAGCCAUUCUUCCACACAUAUUUACCCAGCUCAAAUGG
Molecule: unclassified non-coding RNA, 257 nt
Filed under: Hevea brasiliensis (rubber tree)
Lineage: Eukaryota; Viridiplantae; Streptophyta; Magnoliopsida; Malpighiales; Euphorbiaceae
Source: RNAcentral